RNAcentral lists this transfer RNA (73 nucleotides) under Ictidomys tridecemlineatus (thirteen-lined ground squirrel). RNAcentral's name for it is "Spermophilus tridecemlineatus (thirteen-lined ground squirrel) tRNA". It matches the Rfam family "tRNA". From Rfam's summary of the family: Transfer RNA (tRNA) molecules are approximately 80 nucleotides in length. Their secondary structure includes four short double-helical elements and three loops (D, anti-codon, and T loops). The record is from Rfam by way of RNAcentral. Lineage: Eukaryota; Metazoa; Chordata; Mammalia; Rodentia; Sciuridae.
GGGGAUAUAGCUCAUUUGAUAGAGUGCUUGUCUUGCAUGCAUUAAGCCCUAGGUUCAAACCCCAGCACCACUA